GUGGGGAAUUUUGGACAAUGGGCGCAAGCCUGAUCCAGCAAUGCCGCGUGCAGGAAGAAGGCCUUCGGGUUGUAAACUGCUUUUGUACGGAACGAAACGGUCCGGGUUAAUACCCUGGGCUAAUGACGGUACCGUAAGAAUAAGCACCGGCUAACUACGUGCCAGCAGCCGCGGUAAUACGUAGGGUGCAAGCGUUAAUCGGAAUUACUGGGCGUAAAGCGUGCGCAGGCGGUUUUGUAAGACAGGCGUGAAAUCCCCGGGCUCAACCUGGGAAUUGCGCUUGUGACUGCAAGGCUGGAGUGCGGCAGAGGGGGAUGGAAUUCCGCGUGUAGCAGUGAAAUGCGUAGAUAUGCGCAGGAACACCGAUGGCGAAGGCAAUCCCCUGGGCCUGCACUGACGCUCAUGCACGAAAGCGUGGGGAGCAAACAGGAUUAGAAACCCCGGUAGUCC
Molecule: ribosomal RNA, 450 nt
Filed under: uncultured bacterium
Lineage: Bacteria
Description: bacterial SSU rRNA
Rfam family: Bacterial small subunit ribosomal RNA
Source: RNAcentral